Small nuclear RNA from Stegodyphus dumicola, 162 nucleotides. RefSeq annotates it as U1 spliceosomal RNA. NCBI's taxonomy places the organism in Eukaryota, Metazoa, Arthropoda, Arachnida, Araneae, Eresidae. The record is from RefSeq and is a predicted model, not a curated record.
AUACUUACCUAGCACUGGGGAUGCCUUGAUCAAAUAAAAGACUACCCCCGAACAGAGGCUUCUCACUGCACUUCGAGAGGCUGACGUUCGCCUCUUCCGCAAAUCGCGGUUGUAUGGGGUGCAUAAUUUUUGAUAGCGGGGACUGCGUUCGCGCUGUCCCUA